Engraulis encrasicolus (European anchovy) is the source of this 357-nucleotide non-coding RNA. Lineage: Eukaryota; Metazoa; Chordata; Actinopteri; Clupeiformes; Engraulidae. The record is from the annotation of a RefSeq genome assembly.
AUGACUCCCAGACCCAUCUCACUACUGCUGUUACUGGCAGCUGCAUCCUGUGGAUACUGCCAGACCCUGACAGAGUCAGAAGGAGCUGUGGUGUCACCUGGAGGAUCGUACAAACUCACCUGUACGGCCUCUGGGCUGGACAUCAGUGGCUACUACAUGGCUUGGAAUAGACAAGCACCUGGAAAGGGGCUAGAAUGGGUUACAAGCAUGUACAGCACUAAUAUUUAUUAUUCACAAGCUGCUCAGGGACGAUUCACCAUCUCCAGAGACAACAGCAAGAGUCAGGUGUAUCUGCAGAUGAACAGUCUGAAGGCUGAAGACACGGCUGUGUAUUACUGUGCCCGACAGCCACAGUGA